ACAAAAGGCCUUUCACAUUCAAAGCCAUGACAACCCCUCUGGGGUUGUCCAAGAAACAGUAUUACCUAACCUUACCCUCCUAAUAGCCUUGCCAACUGACUGAGAGACAGACUUAAGGGGAAAAAAAAUCCCUGUCUUCUUGAACAAAUACAGGGCAAGACUUGAUGUCCAUUCCCCAGCUCCUGCAGUACUGAGUGGAUGAAGGAGUACUUUGGAGAGCCAGGUAAAAGCCUCAGAGUUUUAUUGUACUCACUGAACAUCUGUGUCCCAAUUUUGCUGAGAAAACCGUGACUUGAAGAUUCAGCCAUUUGCUCUGUUUCAAGCUAACAAAUCACCUGUGUGGAAUCUGUAUGUGGGCUCAUGUGACUCCAGAGCAUCAAACAGCAAGCAUAAUUUCUGAAUCUCAGAUGUUAGUGAGGAGUGAUCUCCUAACUACAAUAUUGCCCAGGUUUGUAAUGAAAGAAACCCAGUAGGUCUAAGGAGGUUAGGUGUGGGAGGCAGCCAUGGCUCUCUGCCCCUUCACCAGGAGACUGUGCUAGCCCAGGGUCUAGGAGUGGGUCAACCCAUUGGCCUCACCUUCAGAAGAAGUUUAAAGACACUCUACUAAGCCUCACCAUCUCAGCAGAGGAUAAAGGGACAGGCGAGCAUUUGAAUGCCAGGUCUCCUGCUGUUUGAGUCUAAAUCUGCUCCCCAGAGUAAUGAAAAGAAUCAAAUAAAGCUUAUUCAAGAAAGCCAUCUCUAGUUCGGUGGUUCCUAAAACAUACAAUCACUAUGCUCAUGUAUGUCCUCAUUUAUAUGAGUUUUGCUGAGCUCAUUAAUAUCACUGACCUUUACAGGGCACCCUAGAGGGUCUCUUAUGGUCACAUAAAGACUAGAACUGAAAAGGUUCAAGCUGACCCACAAAUGCAGGCCUGAAAUCCCAGCUAUUACAGAGGCCAAGACAUGAGGAUUAUAAGCUCAAAGACUACCUGGGAUAAAGAGUGAGUGAGAGGCCACCAUGGACAACCUCGUGAGACUAUGUCUCAAACUCAGGAAGUGACGAGAGCUAGAGAUAUAGCUCAGCAGAAAGUGUUUGCCCAACAUAUGCAAUGCCUUAGGUUCAAACUCCAAUACCACAAAAGACUUCAAUAACAUGAACAAUAUGUUUAAGAAUGGACAACCACUAAAUGGCAGCAUUAGCACUGGAUCCUAAGUAUCUCAGAACCCCCAAUACAUCCUCCCUCACAUCUGAUGCUUUCUUCCAGUCCUGUGUCUCCCCCCGACUCCCCACGCACCAACCUCUCUGGCCUGGUUCUCAGCCCCAUAUAACAAAAGCAAACAUAGCCGCACCAAAAUGACAGGAUGACUCAGGGCAGAGUAGGAGAGGUCAGUGAUCUCAAAUUAAGGGGAACUGAAGCAGAAGGGGGGGCAAUCCCAGGAAAGAACCUGGAUUCAGAGACAGAAAAUUCCAGAGCAUACUGUGAAGACAGGGAGCACCCAGUGUGGUAAAAUUGAGGCUUUCAGAAAGGAAACUGGUUGAAAAUGUGGGAAGGACUAGAGUUAUGGUAAGGAAGACCUGACACCAUGGGCCCAUGGGGACACCAGCUGUUUCUGGAUAAGUGAGUGAAGAUCACGAAAAGGAAUUGGGGGAUGAGGCCAACAGGCUGGGGAAGAGCCAAGCAGGAUGGUGGCACCAAGAGAUGGAUGUCAGAAACACCAUCCUAUUGAUGGUAGGCUCCAAGCUUCUGUGGCAGCAGGACAUUAGCAUAUACAGCAUCCUCUGCCUGGACACUGCCCACAACCACCCACACCCGCUGCUGCCUACCCUACUGUCUCUACCAUAACCUUCCCAGCCUAGUCCUAAGCCAGGAUUUUGCAUUCUCUUUCAUUGUACUCCAUCUCUGCCCCCCCCCACACCCUCACUGCCCCCACCUUUAACACUUGUGAGAUCAUGAAUGACCCUCCCCCUAGCCCUACCCCCACCCAGUAGUCCUGGUAACUUCUCACCACCCAAGCAGGCAGGGCCGCAAGGCUGCCAUCAACUGGUCAUUUAUGCUGUCUUUGCUGUGUUCCAGAAGCAAAUGGUCCAGGGGCCCAUUAGACCGAUGCCUGAACUCACUUGGGGAAGUAGUGACCUAAUCAAAGAUUAUGUGGACAGGGUGGAUAAAUCAAAGGGUGGGAGCUUAUGCAUGUUCCCUCGAUUCACUAUCAUCUGGGGAAGCCCCUCACAUCCUGAGCCCCAAUCUGCCACCAUCCUCUUAGAAGGCUUGCAGAACUGUUUAUCACGUUUCCAAAGUGAUUGACUUCUGAUGAGAGGUUCCGGAGCUCAGGCAAACGCGCCUGGCUUACAGGGUAUUGUGAGUAAAAGAAAAGAAAUAACAGGUACGCUUCAAGUGUGGGAGCUGAAAAAGAAGCUAAUUAAAUGUCAGGGCUGGAGUUUAACCCACUUGAAGAGGGUGUUUCUAUUCUGGAGUCACUAGUUUCUCAUUCCCAAACUCAGACUCUGAAACACCCACCCUGGCUAGAAAAGCUUACGUAGGAACCCUGUGAGCCGAGGCGGGCUGCAAAGCUGGCCACUGGAUUGGAUGACAGCCCGGUCUUCCCGUCCACACAGAUUGGAUUGGAUGAUGGCCCUGGUCUUCCGGUCCACCCAGACUGGAUUGGAUGAUGGCCCCGGUCUUCCGGUCCACCCAGACUGGAUUGGAUGAUGGCCCCGGUCUUCCCGUCCACCCAGACAUAAGACUUCGGAAAUAGAGGGCUUGGGAGAUUGGAAGAGCCACAGGCUACACUCAUUCGUCUUCAUUGUGUCUGAAAGAAAUGAAAACAGGACCAGGAGACAAAGCUCUACCAACAUGGCAUCGGAAUGGUCAUGUUUGGAAGCAGAUAACAGUGAAAUCAAGACAUUGUAGCUCGAGGCAGAUGCAAGGGACUGGCCCAUAGUGAGGUCUGCUCUCCUCACAUGCCAGACCCUGGACUUUGGACUGUUUGUUUGCAUCCCCGUCCCAGGGACAAGUCUUUGUGACUGUCUCACAGAGAGAACUGGCACCGUGCAGAGGGGUUUCCAAUCUUCUCUGACUAGAGAGGUGGGCAAAGUGGUAGCCCAGAGCUGGCCCCUCAGGGAGUCGUGCUGCCUGAGGCUGGAGUCAUCACCCACUUUCCUAAAGGACACAGGACCCUCUGGUCCCCUGCCAUCCUCCCCCUGCCUUCAGGACCACACUAUUCUUCCACCCUCAGAAGAAAAGUAGGAAGGGCAUGCCUUGUUGCUCCCGACUGCCUUCUGCAUAGGAGAAAGGGUUGUAGUAAUCGUGAAGUUGGUGCCUUCUGUAAGUCCUCUGCCUAGCAGCUUGAAGAAUGUUUCCCUGGGACUUUCUCCCAGCUGGUGCCCACAACCACCCUGCCUGCUCUGUAGCCAGGAAAAUGGAGGCCCAUGGGUGACUUAGACUACACAAUCUAUUAAGCAAGACUCCUUUUCUAGUGCUCUCCCUGCCCCACUAUUCUACAGAGUCCCUGCAUUCUCAGAGCCAGGCCCCUGUUAGGCUAGAAUUUCCAAGGUAGAAAUCCCAGCUGGGGCACUCAGGGUUUAGCAACAGCUGCUCACCAGGCCUGAUAAUCCCUCCUUCAACCUGGAAGUCCAGGGGCUCGGAAACGAGUGUGAGAGGUAUAAAUAAAUCUAUGCCAGGA
Non-coding RNA from Rattus norvegicus (Norway rat), 3660 nucleotides. Lineage: Eukaryota; Metazoa; Chordata; Mammalia; Rodentia; Muridae. The record is from RefSeq and is a predicted model, not a curated record.